UACAGAGGUCUCAAGCGUUGUUCGGAAUCACUGGGCGUAAAGGGUGCGUAGGCGGCGUGGAAUGUCAGAUGUGAAAUCCGGAGGCUCAACCUCCGAAUUGCAUCCGAAACUUCCAUGCUGGAGAACUGUAGAGGGGUCUGGAAUUCUCGGUGUAGCAGUGAAAUGCGUAGAUAUCGAGAAGAACGCUCGUGGCGAAGGCGAGACUCUGGGCAGUUUCUGACGCUGAGGCACGAAGGCUAGGGGAGCAAACGGG
This 253-nucleotide ribosomal RNA is filed under the name uncultured bacterium. Its description in RNAcentral is "partial 16S ribosomal RNA". It matches the Rfam family "Bacterial small subunit ribosomal RNA", at positions 524 to 776 of the family's 1533-position model. The record is from RNAcentral.